AGGCCUAUACAGGUGCUGCAUGGCUGUCGUCAGCUCGUGUCGUGAGAUGUUGGGUUAAGUACCCGCAACGAGCGCAACCCCUCGUCUCUAGUUACCAUCAUUCAGUUGGGGACUCUAGAGAUACUGCCAAGGUUAACUUGGAGGAAGGUGGGGAUGACGUCAAGUCCUCAUGGCCUUUAUGUCCAGGGCUACACACGUGCUACAAUGGGCGGUACAGAGGGUAGCGAUAUCGCGAGAUGGAGCCAAUCCCAAAAAGCCGUUCCCAGUUCGGAUUGGAGUCUGCAACUCGACUCCAUGAAGUUGGAAUCGCUAGUAAUCGCGGAUCAGCACGCCGCGGUGAAUACGUUCCCGGGCCUU
Molecule: ribosomal RNA, 357 nt
Filed under: uncultured Desulfobacteraceae bacterium
Lineage: Bacteria; Pseudomonadati; Thermodesulfobacteriota; Desulfobacteria; Desulfobacterales; Desulfobacteraceae
Description: bacterial SSU rRNA
Rfam family: Bacterial small subunit ribosomal RNA
Source: RNAcentral